Molecule: ribosomal RNA, 245 nt
Filed under: uncultured bacterium
Lineage: Bacteria
Description: partial 16S ribosomal RNA
Rfam family: Bacterial small subunit ribosomal RNA
Source: RNAcentral
CCGCGAGGUGGAGCAAAUCCCUAAAAGCCAUCCCAGUUCGGAUCGCAGGCUGCAACCCGCCUGCGUGAAGUCGGAAUCGCUAGUAAUCGCGGAUCAGCAUGCCGCGGUGAAUACGUUCCCGGGCCUUGUACACACCGCCCGUCACACCAUGAGAGUCGGGAACACCCGAAGUCCGUAGCCUAACAGCAAUGAGGGCGCGGCCGAAGGUGGGUUCGAUAAUUGGGGUGAAGUCGUAACAAGGUACC